CGGGUGCGUAACGCGUAUACAAUCUACCUUUACAGGGGGAUAGCCCAGAGAAAUUUGGAUUAAUACCCCAUGGCAUAUAUUUAUGGCAUCAUAUAUAUAUUAAAGAUUCAUCGGUAAGAGAUGAGUAUGCGUUCUAUUAGCUAGUAGGGUUUUUUUUUUUUUUUUUUUUUUUUUUUCGGAACGGCGCACCUAGGCUACGAUAGAUAGGGGCCCUGAGAGGGGGAUCCCCCACACUGGUACUGAGACACGGACCAG
This 255-nucleotide ribosomal RNA is filed under the name uncultured bacterium. Its description in RNAcentral is "partial 16S ribosomal RNA". It matches the Rfam family "Bacterial small subunit ribosomal RNA", at positions 103 to 334 of the family's 1533-position model. The record is from RNAcentral.